GGGGAUAUAGCUCAGUUGGUAGAGUGUUUGCCUCACAUGUACAAGGCCCUGGGUUCAAUCCCAGCACCACUC
RNAcentral lists this transfer RNA (72 nucleotides) under Ictidomys tridecemlineatus (thirteen-lined ground squirrel). Its description in RNAcentral is "Spermophilus tridecemlineatus (thirteen-lined ground squirrel) tRNA". It matches the Rfam family "tRNA". From Rfam's summary of the family: Transfer RNA (tRNA) molecules are approximately 80 nucleotides in length. Their secondary structure includes four short double-helical elements and three loops (D, anti-codon, and T loops). The record is from Rfam by way of RNAcentral. Lineage: Eukaryota; Metazoa; Chordata; Mammalia; Rodentia; Sciuridae.